RNAcentral lists this RNase P RNA (368 nucleotides) under Desulfobulbus sp. RNAcentral describes it as "RNase P RNA component class A". It matches the Rfam family "Bacterial RNase P class A". Rfam says of the family: Ribonuclease P (RNase P) is a ubiquitous endoribonuclease, found in archaea, bacteria and eukarya as well as chloroplasts and mitochondria. Its best characterised activity is the generation of mature 5'-ends of tRNAs by cleaving the 5'-leader elements of precursor-tRNAs. The record is from RNAcentral. Lineage: Bacteria; Pseudomonadati; Thermodesulfobacteriota; Desulfobulbia; Desulfobulbales; Desulfobulbaceae.
AGGGGUGAGUGCAUGAUCGCUCCGGCGUGGGCCGGAGAGGAAAGUCCGAACACCACAGGGCGCGGUGGUUCGUAACGCGAACUCCGGGCAACCGGGGGAAAGUGCCGCAGAAAACACACCGCCGAUGGGCGCGCGAGCGUCACAGGCAAGGUUGAAAUGGCGAGGUAAGAGCUCACCGCCCCCAUGGCGACAUGGGGGGCAGGGUAAACCCCACCGGGUGCAAGACCAAAUAGGGAGGCGAUCGAGGGCGGCCCGCCCGAAGCCUCCGGGUAGGUUGCACGAGGUGCCGGGCGACCGGCAUCCCAGUCAAAUGAUCAUGGUCCGCCUCCGGGCGGAAACAGAAUUCGGCUUAUAACUCACCCCUCUUU